Molecule: long non-coding RNA, 1527 nt
Organism: Zingiber officinale
Lineage: Eukaryota; Viridiplantae; Streptophyta; Magnoliopsida; Zingiberales; Zingiberaceae
Exons: 2
Source: RefSeq, a predicted model, not a curated record
UUGGCAGAGCCGAUUCAAGUUCAAACUGUGCCCAAAACAGUCAUGGCGCUAGUGGCAGGCCACAUCCUACUCCUUGGUCCUCACUUCUACUAUUGUCAGUACCACUGCCACUCCACCCGGUUGCAGACAAAACUGCAGGCAGCCAGCCAGGCAGAGGGCGCGUGAUGGCGACUGUUGAUUGAGAUUUCCUUUAUUCUCCAUGUCUAACUCCCCUUCUAUCUUUCCCCUUCUAUCUAAUCUGCUCCCCCGUCCAAAGUUAUAUUCCAAGCUUGUCAUUUGCUAUCGAGGGCCAAUGAAUGGACCUGGAACUUCACAUCCAAACUUAGGCAAACCUACAAACGGCGAGCAGUCGGCAGCGCUUCAUCGCCAUGGUUCAUGGUUUGUCUCUCUGAAAGAGUAAGCUCAAACGUUGCCGCGCAAUGAACCGGAGGGAGUAGCAAAUCGGCACGAUGAGUUAUUUUGGUUCCGUGCAGGUGCUGCUGCUACACCCCUGCGUUUGGCUGGGCAACUUGCUGCAGAAGCAACGAUAUGAAGGAGGAGGGGCAAAAAAACAAUUCACGGUAGCAAUUCAGCACAUUUAAUUCAAGGACUUUAAUUAAAACAAUUAUUCGGUGAGUAAAUAUUUGAUGUUUUGUCACGGGUCGGGUCCAGAUGUGGGUCCGGACCUAGGAAUAUAUGCGUCAAAGCGCAGCGCGACACGCCUCGUCAGUGCUGGCUGGCUCCACCUCAUCGCUCUCUCCCUGCACGCGCACCACCGCCUCGUGCACUGCGUGCCAACAGCAAGCAGCGGACGCCCAAUCGCAACUCGGGACGCCGUCCGCGGCCCUGUUUCAAAAUAAAUCCUCGCUUUCUCAAUCCGCACACCCACACCGCCCACCCAUCCGCACACCCACACUAACGGCUCUCUUUGCCUGCCAUCGGCAUUCGCGUCUCCUUUUCUCCCUUUUCUCGAGAAAAAUGAAAAUCGAAAGAAAAGGGAGGAGAAAAAAAAAAGAAAAUAGCAAGAAAGAGAAGGAAAAAAACAAGGAAAAGGAAUAAAGCCGACAAGUUUCGUCCAAAUCAGAGAUUAGAGAUUGCAGCAGCUGACACUCUUUCUUUGCCCCCCUAUUUAUUAUCCCUCCCCUUCUCUAAGUCUAACAGAGGGAAGAGAGUACCGAGAGCCAGGGUUUCCUCCUCCUCCCGCCGCUUGAUCGUCCUUCAGGAAUCGGAUGUCGCCGCUCCUCGCUGAUUCCCCUCCGCCGACUCCGGGGAGGAGGCGGCACGAGAGGAGAAAAAAAGGUAUCUAAUGACGACAGCUACGACUGCCUGGAAACAAUGUUCUCGUCAAGCGGAUGCAGAUUAUCUAGUCUUUUGAUUAUAUUUGUCAAAUGCAUUAGAUAAUGUCAUGCUUGGAGAGUUAGGGAAUGAAGCCAUUGGUCCGCUAGACAUCAUAUGUUUUGGGUCAUUAUAUUUGACAUCCUCAUAUUUCUCGUUCAGCUAAAUGACAUUCAAAUAUUCAGUUUACAUCAAAAUUUUCUUCUUCUUAAA